UUUCCGUAAGUGAACCUGCGGAAGGAUCAUUAAUGAGUUGUCAUGGGGUUCGAUGCUGGCAGCCAGUUUUUGGAUGCAUGUGCUUGCCCUAACAAUCAUCUUCUUCCAAACACCUGCGCACAUUUUUGAGGGAGUCUUGAGUUGGUUGCCGCUCUUGGGUGAUUUUCUCACAUUCCCUUAAAUCAUUAUACGCUAUUAACAAUGUUGAACGUGCUCUGUGCCGCAAGGCCAUUAAUAUAAUACAACUUUUAACAACGGAUCUCUUGGCUCUC
This 272-nucleotide unclassified non-coding RNA is filed under the name plant metagenome. Its description in RNAcentral is "partial contains small subunit ribosomal RNA, internal transcribed spacer 1, and 5.8S ribosomal RNA". The record is from RNAcentral.